RNAcentral lists this ribosomal RNA (878 nucleotides) under uncultured bacterium. Its description in RNAcentral is "bacterial SSU rRNA". It matches the Rfam family "Bacterial small subunit ribosomal RNA", at positions 8 to 916 of the family's 1533-position model. The record is from RNAcentral.
AGAGUUUGAUCCUGGCUCAGGAUGAACGCUGGCGGCGUGCCUAACACAUGCAAGUCGAGCGAUCUUCUUCGGAAGAGAGCGGCGGACGGGUGAGUAACGCGUGGGUAACCUGCCUCAUACACAUGGAUAACAUACCGAAAGGUAUGCUAAUACAAGAUGAUAUAAGAGAUUCGCAUGGAUUUCUUAUCAAAGCUCCGGCGGUAUGAGAUGGACCCGCGUCUGAUUAGCUAGUUGGUAAGGUAACGGCUUACCAAGGCGACGAUCAGUAGCCGACCUGAGAGGGUGAUCGGCCACAUUGGAACUGAGACACGGUCCAAACUCCUACGGGAGGCAGCAGUGGGGAAUAUUGCACAAUGGGCGAAAGCCUGAUGCAGCAACGCCGCGUGAGCGAUGAAGGCCUUCGGGUCGUAAAGCUCUGUCCUCAAGGAAGAUAAUGACGGUACUUGAGGAGGAAGCCCCGGCUAACUACGUGCCAGCAGCCCGGUAAUACGUAGGGGGCUAGCGUUAUCCGGAUUUACUGGGCGUAAAGGGUGCGUAGGUGGUUUCUUAAGUCAGGAGUGAAAGGCUACGGCUCAACCGUAGUAAGCUCUUGAAACUGGGAAACUUGAGUGCAGGAGAGGAAAGUGGAAUUCCUAGUGUAGCGGUGAAAUGCGUAGAUAUUAGGAGGAACACCAGUAGCGAAGGCGGCUUUCUGGACUGUAACUGACACUGAGGCACGAAAGCGUGGGGAGCAAACAGGAUUAGAUACCCUGGUAGUCCACGCCGUAAACGAUGAGUACUAGGUGUCGGGGGUUACCCCCCUCGGUGCCGCAGCUAACGCAUUAAGUACUCCGCCUGGGGAGUACGCUCGCAAGAGUGAAACUCAAAGGAAUUGACGG